Molecule: long non-coding RNA, 1307 nt
Filed under: Homo sapiens (human)
Lineage: Eukaryota; Metazoa; Chordata; Mammalia; Primates; Hominidae
Description: non-protein coding lnc-SCFD2-1:1
Source: RNAcentral
GGAGGGGAUGUGGCAGGUAGCCCCUGUUCACUUGCUGUAAGAUAAGUGUUUUAGUAUUUCAGCCACCCUUAGGCACAACUCAGCCAGGCCUAGGAAGCAACCCAACGUCAUUGCCAUGAACCAUUUACACAAGUCACACCAAAAUCAACUGACACAUUUUUUUCCUGAUGGAACAGUUAAAAAAACAAAAAACUAUACAGUCAAAGUCUGGGGUUGAAGAGCGUGAAGUUCACAGCUCCUCCACACACGCCCAACUGAGCAUGCUCAUCCUGUGAGGGGGAACCAGAGCCUUCCUGUAAACCAUGAGAGCUUACCAAUGUCUGGUAUACAAAAUAUUCUGGCCCAUAAACUCAACCUGUUUUUGAGGGGUAGGGGAUUUUCCAUCUUGUACAUAAAGAAAGAAAUCUGGGUAUCCUUCAGGUUAGAAAGGCAUUCUGUAAGAAUAGUGUUCCAGAGUUACAAAUCAUACUGGUAAGAGAAAAGCAAUUCUUCCUCUUGGGGAAAAAGAGGAAAAGAAAGAAGAAAAGAGAAAAAAGAAAAAAGGGGGAAAAAAGAAAGCCUAUCAAUGCUUAAUCUGUUCUUUCAUUCCCACUGUAAAUCACAUCAAUACAUUUGGUGAAACUGCAACGGACCACCAUUUACAAGGUAGUUGAAUGCAGAAACCGAAACGAUUAUGCCCCCUCCCCACUCUAAAGGAAAAGACACAGAGUACAUUUCACAUAUUCAGAGAGUGGCUCAGUGGGCUCUUUCAAGCCUCAUCAAUCCUGUCCCCCUGCUCAGAACAACACUUCCUUUUCUGUAGCAGUUCCACAGGCCCUCUUGGCCCUUCUGCUCCAGCCCUUUCUGGAACCAGGAAUCAUUGCCAAUAUUCAACGUUCCUGCACUAGGAGAACCUCAGGCCCUCUUCCUGGGAAGACCAAACCCCCUUGAGUGCUCCUCCUGCUUCAGACGGAGGUGACAGUCCUCACUUUGGCAGAGAGGGCUUGCUUAAACCUCCUCUUCAGGUCCUGCAUGUUGGGUGACUUGGGCCUGGGAAUGAGGGAGGUUCUUCGCUUCUCGGGUGUACUGCUAGCUGCAGUCCAAGCUGAGGGUCAACCUGUUUGAUGUGCAACAGGUCAGCUUUGUUGGCCACGACCACCACAGGCAGCCGGGUGCCCAGGUGUAGCUGCUGCACGUGCUGGUGGAGCUGGCUGAUGAGUUCAUAGCUCUUGUAGUCAGUGAUGGAGAAAACGAUCACCACAGCAUCUGCCCAGCGAAUGCACCUAUUCAGCUGUUCACUGCAGCUCAGGCUGUUCUCAUGGACCUGA